GUGAUAACUUCGGCAGCACAUGUGCUAAAAUUGGAAUGAUAGAGAGAUUAGCAUGGCCCUUGUGCAAGGAUGACACACAAAUUCGUGAAGCAUCCCCUAUUUUU
Cynocephalus volans (Philippine flying lemur) is the source of this 104-nucleotide small nuclear RNA. Lineage: Eukaryota; Metazoa; Chordata; Mammalia; Dermoptera; Cynocephalidae. The record is from RefSeq and is a predicted model, not a curated record.